GCAUUGGUGGUAUAGUGGUGAGCAUAGCUGCCUUCCAAGCAGUUGACCAGGUUUCGAUUCCCGGCCAAUGCA
This 72-nucleotide transfer RNA is filed under the name Gadus morhua (Atlantic cod). RNAcentral's name for it is "tRNA-Gly (TCC) (tRNA-Gly-TCC-18-1)". It matches the Rfam family "tRNA". Rfam says of the family: Transfer RNA (tRNA) molecules are approximately 80 nucleotides in length. Their secondary structure includes four short double-helical elements and three loops (D, anti-codon, and T loops). Further hydrogen bonds mediate the characteristic L-shaped molecular structure. tRNAs have two regions of fundamental functional importance: the anti-codon, which is responsible for specific mRNA codon recognition, and the 3' end, to which the tRNAs corresponding amino acid is attached (by aminoacyl-tRNA synthetases). tRNAs cope with the degeneracy of the genetic code in two manners: having more than one tRNA (with a specific anti-codon) for a particular amino acid; and 'wobble' base-pairing, i.e. permitting non-standard base-pairing at the 3rd anti-codon position. The record is from RNAcentral. Lineage: Eukaryota; Metazoa; Chordata; Actinopteri; Gadiformes; Gadidae.